UACGUAGGGUGCGAGCGUUAAUCGGAAUUACUGGGCGUAAAGCGUGCGCAGGCGGUUCGUUAAGUCAGCUGUGAAAGCCCCGGGCUCAACCUGGGAAUUGCGGUUGAAACUGGCGGACUAGAAUCUGGCAGAGGGGGGUGGAAUUCCACGUGUAGCAGUGAAAUUCGUAGAUAUUCGCAAGAACACCAGUGGCGAAGGCGGCUCACUGGCCCGAUACUGACGCUGAGGCACGAAAGCGUGGGGAGCAAACAGG
Molecule: ribosomal RNA, 253 nt
Filed under: uncultured bacterium
Lineage: Bacteria
Description: partial 16S ribosomal RNA
Rfam family: Bacterial small subunit ribosomal RNA
Source: RNAcentral